GAAACGCGAUAGUUAAUGUGAAUUGCAGAAUUCAGUGAAUCAUCGAGUCUUUGAACGCACAUUGCGCCCAUAGGUAUUCCUUUGGGCAUGUCUGUUUGAGCGUCAUUACAACCCUCAGCUAACCGCUGGUUUUGAACCUGAACGGGUGACACCGCGCCGGUUUUAAAGUUGUAAGCUCUGCUGGCCGCUCUGCCCAACCAGAACAUAGUAAGCACUACUUGUCCGGGUGAAGCUGAACGGUACGGCCUGAACAAAACCUACCCACUCUCAAGGUUUGACCUCAUAUCAGACAAAGAUACCCGCUGAACUUACGC
RNAcentral lists this unclassified non-coding RNA (314 nucleotides) under plant metagenome. RNAcentral describes it as "partial contains 5.8S ribosomal RNA, internal transcribed spacer 2, and large subunit ribosomal RNA". The stretch from base 1 to 105 matches the Rfam family "5.8S ribosomal RNA", at positions 50 to 154 of the family's 154-position model. The record is from RNAcentral.